RNAcentral lists this ribosomal RNA (255 nucleotides) under uncultured bacterium. RNAcentral describes it as "partial 16S ribosomal RNA". It matches the Rfam family "Bacterial small subunit ribosomal RNA", at positions 524 to 777 of the family's 1533-position model. The record is from RNAcentral.
UACAGAGGGGGCAAGCGUUGUUCGGAAUUACUGGGCGUAAAGGGCGCGUAGGCGGCCUGCUAAGUCGAACGUGAAAUCCCCGAGCUCAACUCGGGAACUGCGUCCGAUACUGGCAGGCUUGAAUCCGGGAGAGGGAUGCGGAAUUCCAGGUGUAGCGGUGAAAUGCGUAGAUAUCUGGAGGAACACCGGUGGCGAAGGCGGCAUCCUGGACCGGCAUUGACGCUGAGGCGCGGAAAGCCAGGGGAGCAAAGCAGG